RNAcentral lists this ribosomal RNA (835 nucleotides) under Pseudomonas sp. 58 R 3. RNAcentral's name for it is "bacterial SSU rRNA". It matches the Rfam family "Bacterial small subunit ribosomal RNA", at positions 1 to 828 of the family's 1533-position model. Lineage: Bacteria; Pseudomonadati; Pseudomonadota; Gammaproteobacteria; Pseudomonadales; Pseudomonadaceae. The record is from RNAcentral.
UUUGAACUGAAGAGUUUGAUCAUGGCUCAGAUUGAACGCUGGCGGCAGGCCUAACACAUGCAAGUCGAGCGGUAGAGAGAAGCUUGCUUCUCUUGAGAGCGGCGGACGGGUGAGUAAAGCCUAGGAAUCUGCCUGGUAGUGGGGGAUAACGUUCGGAAACGGACGCUAAUACCGCAUACGUCCUACGGGAGAAAGCAGGGGACCUUCGGGCCUUGCGCUAUCAGAUGAGCCUAGGUCGGAUUAGCUAGUUGGUGAGGUAAUGGCUCACCAAGGCGACGAUCCGUAACUGGUCUGAGAGGAUGAUCAGUCACACUGGAACUGAGACACGGUCCAGACUCCUACGGGAGGCAGCAGUGGGGAAUAUUGGACAAUGGGCGAAAGCCUGAUCCAGCCAUGCCGCGUGUGUGAAGAAGGUCUUCGGAUUGUAAAGCACUUUAAGUUGGGAGGAAGGGCAUUAACCUAAUACGUUAGUGUUUUGACGUUACCGACAGAAUAAGCACCGGCUAACUCUGUGCCAGCAGCCGCGGUAAUACAGAGGGUGCAAGCGUUAAUCGGAAUUACUGGGCGUAAAGCGCGCGUAGGUGGUUUGUUAAGUUGGAUGUGAAAUCCCCGGGCUCAACCUGGGAACUGCAUUCAAAACUGACUGACUAGAGUGUGGUAGAGGGUGGUGGAAUUUCCUGUGUAGCGGUGAAAUGCGUAGAUAUAGGAAGGAACACCAGUGGCGAAGGCGACCACCUGGACCAACACUGACACUGAGGUGCGAAAGCGUGGGGAGCAAACAGGAUUAGAUACCCUGGUAGUCCACGCCGUAAACGAUGUCAACUAGCCGUUGGAA